Molecule: ribosomal RNA, 261 nt
Filed under: uncultured bacterium
Lineage: Bacteria
Description: partial 16S ribosomal RNA
Rfam family: Bacterial small subunit ribosomal RNA
Source: RNAcentral
CGGGUGGCGAACGGGUGAGUAAUACAUCGGAACGUGUCCGCUCGUGGGGGACAACCAGCCGAAAGGUUGGCUAAUACCGCAUGAGUUCUACGGAAGAAAGAGGGGGACCCGCAAGGGCCUCUCGCGAGCGGAGCGGCCGAUGACUGAUUAGCCGGUUGGUGAGGUAACGGCUCACCAAAGCAACGAUCAGUAGCUGGUCUGAGAGGACGACCAGCCACACUGGGACUGAGACACGGCCCAGACUCCUACGGAAGGCAGCAG